This 900-nucleotide ribosomal RNA is filed under the name uncultured Bacteroides sp. RNAcentral describes it as "bacterial SSU rRNA". It matches the Rfam family "Bacterial small subunit ribosomal RNA", at positions 571 to 1482 of the family's 1533-position model. The record is from RNAcentral. Lineage: Bacteria; Pseudomonadati; Bacteroidota; Bacteroidia; Bacteroidales; Bacteroidaceae.
GCAGGCGGGAUGUUAAGUCGGCGGUGAAAUUUUGCAGCUCAACUGUAAAAGUNCNNUCGAUACUGGCUUUCUUGAGUGUGGAUGAAGUAGGCGGAAUUUGUGGUGUAGCGGUGAAAUGCUUAGAUAUCACGAGGAACUCCGAUUGCGCAGGCAGCUUACUAAACCACUACUGACGCUCAUGCACGAAGGCGUGGGGAUCAAACAGGAUUAGAUACCCUGGUAGUCCACGCAGUAAACGAUGAUUACUAGUUGUUUGCGAUACAAUGUAAGCGACUGAGCGAAAGCGUUAAGUAAUCCACCUGGGGAGUACGUUCGCAAGAAUGAAACUCAAAGGAAUUGACGGGGGCCCGCACAAGCGGAGGAACAUGUGGUUUAAUUCGAUGAUACGCGAGGAACCUUACCCGGGCUUGAAAUGCGGCGGACCGGCAGAGAGAUCUGCCUUCCCUUCGGGGCCGCCGUGUAGGUGCUGCAUGGUUGUCGUCAGCUCGCGCCGUGAGGUGUCGGCUUAAGUGCCAUAACGAGCGCAACCCUCAUCAUUAGUUACUAACAGGUCAUGCUGAGGACUCUAGUGAGACUGCCAUCGUAAGAUGCGAGGAAGGUGGGGAUGACGUCAAAUCAGCACGGCCCUUACGUCCGGGGCGACACACGUGUUACAAUGGGUGGUACAAAGGGCAGCUACCUGGCGACAGGAUGCUAAUCUCCAAAACCACUCUCAGUUCGGAUCGGAGUCUGCAACUCGACUCCGUGAAGCUGGAUUCGCUAGUAAUCGCGCAUCAGCCACGGCGCGGUGAAUACGUUCCCGGGCCUUGUACACACCGCCCGUCAAGCCAUGGAAGCCGGGGGUACCUGAAGUCCGUAACCGUCAAGGAGCGGCCUAGGGUAAAACUGGUAACUGGGGCU